CUGCUAUCAGAAUGAGAUUAAGCCAUGCGAGUCAACGUAGCAAUACGUGGCACACGGCUCAGUAACACGUAGUCAACAUAACCAGAGGACGUGGAUAAACUCGGGAAACUGAGGCUAAACCGCGAUAGACCAAGAUACCUGGAAUGGUUUUUGAUCAAAAUCUAUAUGGCCUUUGGAUUGGACUGCGACCGAUCAGGCUGUUGGUGAGGUAAUGGCCCACCAAACCUGUAACCGGUACGGGCUCUGAGAGGAGGAGCCCGGAGAUGGGUACUGAGAAAAGGACCCAGGCCCUAUGGGGCGCAGCAGGCGCGAAACCUCUGCAAUAGGCGAAAGCCUGACAGGGUUAUUCUGAGUGACUUUCGCUAAGAAAGUCUUUUGACAUCUCUAAAAAUGGUGUAGAAUAAGGGGUGGGCAAGUCUGGUGUCAGCCGCCGCGGUAAUACCAGCACCCCGAGUGGUCGGGACGAUUAUUGGGCCUAAAGCAUCCGUAGCCGGUUUUACAAGUCCUCCGUUAAAUCCAACUGCUUAACAGAUGGGCCGCGGAGGAUACUAUAAGACUAGGAGGCAGGAGAGGCAAGCGGUACUCAGUGGGUAGGGGUAAAAUCCGUUGAUCCAUUGAAGACCACCAGUGGCGAAGGCGGCUUGCCAGAAUGCGCUCGACGGUGAGGGAUGAAAGCUGGGGGAGCAAACCGGAUUAGAUACCCGGGUAGUCCCAGCUGUAAACGAUGCAGACUCGGUGAUGGACUAGCUUAAUGCUAGUCCAGUGCCGCAGGGAAGCCGUUAAGUCUGCCGCCUGGGGAGUACGGUCGCAAGACU
Molecule: ribosomal RNA, 815 nt
Filed under: uncultured archaeon
Lineage: Archaea
Description: bacterial SSU rRNA
Rfam family: Archaeal small subunit ribosomal RNA
Source: RNAcentral